This 746-nucleotide ribosomal RNA is filed under the name uncultured bacterium. Its description in RNAcentral is "bacterial SSU rRNA". It matches the Rfam family "Bacterial small subunit ribosomal RNA", at positions 73 to 796 of the family's 1533-position model. The record is from RNAcentral.
UCGGGCUUCGGCCUGGCUAGUAGAGUGGCGAACGGGUGAGUAACGCGUGGGCAAUCUACCCUUGAGUGGGGAAUAACCAUUCUAACGAGUGGCUAAUUCCGCAUGUGCCCGCUUUCUCGCAUGGGAGAGCGGUGAAAGGUGGGGAUCUUCGGACCUGCCGCUCGAGGAGGAGCCCGCGUCCCAUUAGCUUGUUGGUGAGGGUAACGGCCCACCAAGGCGACGAUGGGUAGCCGAUCUGAGAGGAUGACCGGCCACACUGGGACUGAGAUACGGCCCAGACUCCUACGGGAGGCAGCAGUCGAGAGGCUUCGGCAAUGGGGGAAACCCUGACCGAGCGACGCCGCGUGCGGGAUGAAGGCCCUCGGGUUGUAAACCGCUGUCAGGAGGGAAGAAUCCUGCCGGGUUAAUACCCCGGCAGUUGACGGUACCUCCAGAGGAAGCUCCGGCUAACUCCGUGCCAGCAGCCGCGGUAAUACGGAGGGAGCGAACGUUGUUCGGAUUUACUGGGCGUAAAGGGCGCGUAGGCGGUUUUGCAAGUCAGAGGUGAAAUGUCUCGGCUCAACCGAGGACCUGCCUUUGAAACUGCAGAACUUGAGGUCGUGAGAGGAGACUGGAAUUCCUAGUGUAGCGGUGAAAUGCAUAGAUAUUAGGAAGAACACCAGUGGCGAAGGCGAGUCUCUGGCACGAUUCUGACGCUGAGGCGCGAAAGCUAGGGGAGCGAACGGGAUUAGAUACCCCGGUAGUCC